AUACGGAGGGUGCAAGCGUUAAUCGGAAUUACUGGGCGUAAAGCGCGCGUAGGCGGAUAUUUAAGUCUCAUGUGAAAGCCCUGGGCUCAACCUGGGAACUGCAUGGGAUACUGGGUAUCUAGAAUACAGUAGAGGGUAGUGGAAUUUCAGGUGUAGCGGUGAAAUGCGUAGAGAUCUGAAGGAACAUCAGUGGCGAAGGCGACUACCUGGACUGAUAUUGACGCUGAGGUGCGAAAGCGUGGGGAGCAAACGGGAUUAGAUACCCUUGUAGUCC
RNAcentral lists this ribosomal RNA (274 nucleotides) under uncultured bacterium. RNAcentral describes it as "partial 16S ribosomal RNA". It matches the Rfam family "Bacterial small subunit ribosomal RNA", at positions 523 to 796 of the family's 1533-position model. The record is from RNAcentral.